This 253-nucleotide ribosomal RNA is filed under the name uncultured bacterium. RNAcentral describes it as "partial 16S ribosomal RNA". It matches the Rfam family "Bacterial small subunit ribosomal RNA", at positions 524 to 776 of the family's 1533-position model. The record is from RNAcentral.
UACGAAGGGUGCAAACGUUGCUCGGAAUCAUUGGGCGUAAAGCGCACGUAGGCGGCCCGAUAAGUCGGAUGUGAAAUCCCUCGGCUCAACCGAGGACGUGCAUUCGAAACUGUCGGGCUCGAGUAUGGAAGAGGGUCGCGGAAUUCCCGGUGUAGAGGUGAAAUUCGUAGAUAUCGGGAGGAACACCAGUGGCGAAGGCGGCGACCUGGGCCAAUAUUGACGCUGAGGUGCGAAAGCGUGGGGAGCAAACAGG